Molecule: ribosomal RNA, 444 nt
Filed under: uncultured Atopobium sp.
Lineage: Bacteria; Bacillati; Actinomycetota; Coriobacteriia; Coriobacteriales; Atopobiaceae
Description: bacterial SSU rRNA
Rfam family: Bacterial small subunit ribosomal RNA
Source: RNAcentral
CCUACGGGUGGCAGCAGUGGGGAAUCUUGCACAAUGGGCGAAAGCCUGAUGCAGCGACGCCGCGUGCGGGAUGAAGGCCUUCGGGUUGUAAACCGCUUUCAGCAGGGACGAGGCGAAAGUGACGGUACCUGCAGAAGAAGCCCCGGCUAACUACGUGCCAGCAGCCGCGGUAAUACGUAGGGGGCAAGCGUUAUCCGGAUUCAUUGGGCGUAAAGCGCUCGUAGGCGGUCUGUUAGGUCGGGAGUUAAAUCCGGGGGCUCAACCCCCGUUCGCUCCCGAUACCGGCAGACUUGAGUUUGGUAGGGGAAGGUGGAAUUCCUAGUGUAGCGGUGGAAUGCGCAGAUAUUAGGAAGAACACCAGUGGCGAAGGCGGCCUUCUGGGCCAUAACUGACGCUGAGGAGCGAAAGCUAGGGGAGCAAACAGGAUUAGAUACCCCAGUAGUC